UACGUAGGGUGCAAGCGUUGUCCGGAAUUAUUGGGCGUAAAGAGCUCGUAGGCGGUUUGUCGCGUCGAAUGUGAAAACCCGGGGCUCAACCCCGGGCCUGCAUUCGAUACGGGUAGACUAGAGUUCGGUAGGGGAGUCUGGAAUUCCUGGUGUAGCGGUGAAAUGCGCAGAUAUCAGGAGGAACACCGGUGGCGAAGGCGGGUCUCUGGGCAGUUACUGACGCUGAGGAGCGAAAGCGUGGGGAGCGAACAGG
This 253-nucleotide ribosomal RNA is filed under the name uncultured bacterium. RNAcentral describes it as "partial 16S ribosomal RNA". It matches the Rfam family "Bacterial small subunit ribosomal RNA", at positions 524 to 776 of the family's 1533-position model. The record is from RNAcentral.